GUGCUCGCUUUCAACAGCACAUAUAGUAAAAUUGGAACGAUUCUGAGAAGAUUAGCUCGGCCCUGCCCAAGGAUGACACACAAAUUCGUGAAGUGUUCCAUAUUUUU
This is a small nuclear RNA of Ursus americanus (American black bear), 107 nucleotides long. The record is from Ensembl. NCBI's taxonomy places the organism in Eukaryota, Metazoa, Chordata, Mammalia, Carnivora, Ursidae.